This 73-nucleotide small nucleolar RNA is filed under the name Cyprinodon variegatus (sheepshead minnow). RNAcentral's name for it is "Small nucleolar RNA SNORD59 (ENSCVAG00000000749.1)". It matches the Rfam family "Small nucleolar RNA SNORD59". Rfam says of the family: U59 belongs to the C/D class of snoRNA which contain the C (UGAUGA) and D (CUGA) box motifs. Most of the members of the box C/D family function in directing site-specific 2'-O-methylation of substrate RNAs. The record is from Rfam by way of RNAcentral. Lineage: Eukaryota; Metazoa; Chordata; Actinopteri; Cyprinodontiformes; Cyprinodontidae.
UCUUCUGUGAUGAUUAACAUAGUGACUUUCGUUCUUCUGAGAUCACUGAAGCCACUCCUAUGUCCUGAGAAGA